This 857-nucleotide long non-coding RNA is filed under the name Homo sapiens (human). RNAcentral describes it as "HSALNT0336137". The record is from RNAcentral. Lineage: Eukaryota; Metazoa; Chordata; Mammalia; Primates; Hominidae.
UGUUCACGGCAUCCUAGAAUAAAAACUACAUUUCACAGUCUCCUUUGUGUGGUCUUGGGGCUAAGUGCUGGCCAAUGGAAUGUACGCAGAAGUGUCACAAGUGACUUCCAGGAAGCAUUCUUCAAGCUUCAAGGGAGGGGUGGGCCCUUUUUGUUGCCUUCCUCCUUCCUAUUGGCCAGAAAGCGUAAGCAUCAUAUUGGACCAUGAGGUAGUGAGGAACAUUUGGAAGCCACAAGUUGAGAAUGGCAAAACCUGAGAGAAAUUAAGUGAGGUGAAUCACGAAAUGGGAGAUGAAAGGAUGAGGUGUUGGGGGGAGCGUAUGAAGAUCUGAGGAGACAAGGCAGAUUUAAAACAGUUGCUGCAGAGAGGAGGAGACAGCGAGCUGACCCAACCCUCAGCUCCAGUGGAGAAGCAGGGCUUCAUCUUCUGGACACCAGCACAUCUUAGAUUGUGCCUUCCUUGUCAACACCAAGGCAAGCUGAGCCAGGAGGAUAGUGGAAGGUCACACAGGUAGAAAACCUGCUGACCAAACUGCCCCUGCACCAGACCUAAUACAUUUUGGGUUCGAUCCCUUAAUAUGUGUAAGCAUUUACACUGCAAGUAAGAGGAAAUUCUCGCUGGAAUGACCAGGCCAAGAAAAGAAAAAUGGAAACGACCUAAAAUGCCUAACAAUGGAAAUGAGUUGAAUCCAUCUGGCUCAUAGACAUGACGAAAUACUGAAUGGCCACCAUAAAUGGACAUAUGUUUAUUGAUGAGGAAAGAUCUUUAUAACAUAUUGUCAAGUGAACAAAAAAGCAUGCUAUAAAAAAAGGUCAUGCAGAAUAAUCUUAUUUUGUAAAAAAAAAAAAAGUGUGUAU